CCCAGCCCUGGCUGCACGCGGGCAGAGAGAGAGAUUGAGCCCCGGCUCCGCCAGCCCAGCUCGGGCCCUGUCCCUCUACCCUUUCCCCAAGCCGCCCGAAGUGACAGGAGGGGCACGCACGGCGCGCGCGGGGCGUCCAGCGUUAACCGCUUCGGCGCCGGGGACGGGAGCGACAGGAGGGCUGGGGAGCAGGGGACCGAGUGCUGGGACUCACCGGAAUGUGCACGCGCAGCGAACGCCUCUUCUGGCUGGCAUUUUUCUUGCCGCCGCUCCCGCCGGGGCUGGAAACAUCUUUUUUCUUCUUGGUGUCCAUAACCGCGCUUCCCAUAACUCUAACCAGAAGUUGAUUCUGCGAAACUCCUCGGGGGUUCGGUCCCCUCCUUCCCUCCCCCGGCCGCUGCCUUCGGACUGGAGCCGCGCGCUCUGUUACACCCUGAAGCCACCUCGUGGGGACUUCCGCGGAGAGGGAGGGUGAGCAGGGAACUCGCGCGGCCGCCGCCGCCGCCGAAGCGCCGAAUUCAAGCGUCCUUUCCUACGGAACCCUCGUAGGCAAAUCAGUCAAAGCCCGUCCCGGUUCUGGUGUCUCCCCGGGUUACUCGUGGCUGAGGUCUCCCGCUGGGUGACAAAGUUUUCUUCCUUUUGCAAAGCUAAGAAACAUUUUCCACCCUCUCGGCUCCUCCCACAGAUUCCCAGAGGUAAUCUGAAAGGCAGGUGCAAUUAAAACCAGCAAUUUGGAAAACAAGCCUCCUAUGCCUGUGCCCAAGUGGGGAAUCUGGAACCAGUAAGCCCGUUCGUGCAUAAAUGUAAUCCUCGGCCGCAGAAUAAACCAGCUCGGAGCCUGCAGCUGGGUCCGUCCUCCUUUCUGGGCGAGAGGGAGGGCGGCGGGGGAAGAGGAGGUGCAAGGCGAGCCCUCUGCGCAAUUAGGCUACGGGCGGCCGCUGGCAGAAGUUCUGGCGGCGGCGCUCGCGGCCCUGCGCGCCGGAGGGGGCGCCCGGAGUCCAGCGGGCCAAGAAGGGCAGGGCGCCCGCUCCUCGCCCCCCGCCGCGCCGCGGCCCCAGGGGACCGCAAGGGGACAGUGAGGGGCCGGGCCUGGCACCGACGCAAGCUCGGGGAGCGCGGGUGGUGGGAGGCGGCGCGUGUUGAACAGGAAGUGCGCGGCGUGCAGCGCCACCGUCCCGCUCCCCGUCGCCCCACGCCGCCCUCGUCGCCGCGCCCAGACCCCUGCGGCGGCCGCAGCCGCUUGGGACUCGCUGCGAGCUGGUUUCGGAUCCAUCCCGCCUCCCGGCGUCUCACUGUGUGCCCUACCCUUUGAAACACGCCCCCGCGCCCGCCCUGCCGUAGACCAGGCAGCGAGGAAGCCCACAGUCUCCGGGGGCGCUGCGCGCGAAGUAGCACGUGCUUCUCGAAACACCGCAGCCCCCGGGUCCCGCCCCGCCCGGCGCGCGCACUCGAACCCGCCCAGAGAGCGGUGCGUGGCGCUGGGUGCGAGCAGGGUCUAGCCACCCCCACCCUCACCCCACCCCACCCCACCCUGCUUUUUUCAGGUUCAUCAAGGUUUGCGCAGUGGAUCCGCGAAUGAAGCCAGCCUGGAAGAUCCCCAGUCUCGAGACAGAGCCUGACAGGGGCAGAUGCACUGGAAGGACCCUGUCUGGGUUUAGCAACCAAGCAGCCAUCCUGGCCCCACAGGUGUGGGACUUCUGGGUCUUCUCCUGGCUGGCUUCUUGCUAGAGGAUUUCAAGAGACCCAGCAAGACUGUAUUGUCCCACUGAAUGCUCAAGAUAUUGGUUAGAAGUAGAAAAGGGGAGGGGGUAGUAUUUAGCCUCUGUCCCCACUAAAAAUUAUUCCCAAUUGUCAUUUGUGUCAUCUGUUUAGCUUACAGUUUUAAUCCUUGUCAAAAUGAUCAUUUGCCAGGGUGCAUAAAACACCCUAUUUGAUGAGAACUGGUUUUAAAGGAAAAUGGGGCCAUCAGAAGGAAGCCGGUUGGUGUGAAGAGACGUCUGGGAAGAGCCCCUGGCGAGGGCCCUCAUUCCACUGGGUGACCCAGAAGGAGAAAACCGCGAUGGCGCUUCUCAUUUGAAAUGUUUUCUUUAUGGACAGUGUUUAGCAAUUGUUAUAAUGUGUACUUUUGUUGAUUGAUCUGUAUACAUAUGUAAAAUAAUUUGUUCUCUGAGUUAAUUUUGUUGGAACAAAG
RNAcentral lists this long non-coding RNA (2191 nucleotides) under Homo sapiens (human). RNAcentral describes it as "HSALNT0130871". Lineage: Eukaryota; Metazoa; Chordata; Mammalia; Primates; Hominidae. The record is from RNAcentral.